Long non-coding RNA from Dama dama (fallow deer), 1526 nucleotides. RefSeq lists it as uncharacterized. The transcript has 3 exons. NCBI's taxonomy places the organism in Eukaryota, Metazoa, Chordata, Mammalia, Artiodactyla, Cervidae. The record is from RefSeq and is a predicted model, not a curated record.
CUUCCGGGGAAGGGAGUAGGAAGCGUUGCUUAGAUUCGAGGAAACUGGGUGUGCUCGGUGCAAACGCAGUCUUCAAAGUGUCAUUGGUUUCUCUGGAUACUUUGAGGGAAAAGAUAAUGGAAUGAAUUCGGGUUUAUUUAUUUUUAAACGUAACCUCAUUUGGCGUGAAAGCUAUAGGUAUCUCAGAACGUUACGUCUGUAUUAACAUAGUGAAAGUGAAGCUGUUCAGUCGUGUCCGACUCUUUGCGACCCCAUGGAAUGUAGCCUACCAGGUUCCUCCAUCCAUGGGAUUUUCCAGGCCCUGCUGAGUGGUAUGGAGGAUCUUAUUUUCCCAACCAGGGACUAAAUCUGCACCUCCUGCAGCAGAAGUGCAGAAUCUUAACCAAUGGACCACCAAAUAACACAUUUUUAAUGAAAGGAAUACUGAAACUGUCAACUGGUAAAACUCAUUCUUCCUAACUAAUGCAGAACUAGAGUUGAGGGAAAUAAGGUCUGGUGAGUUGCCUUAAACCACUCUUGAACUGCUAAUCUAUACCAGCAAUUUUGCAUUAAGGCAUAACAAGAUAUAAAAGGGAAGAGAAAGCUUUGGCUCAUAAGUAAGGAAUACAAGGCAUGAGGGAAAAAGGUACAAAAGAGAUUUUUCUAGAAAGUGCAUGUAAAAGGAAAAGAAAAGGCGGCCUGGGGCUCAGGCCUUUGUUAAAUCCAUGUUCUAAGAGGAGGUUAAAGUAUCUCUAGAAAGAAAAUGUAGGAUUGAUCAAGAAGUUUAAUGCUAGAGAAUGAACUGCUGGUAAGAGUAUGAGAAAAGCACUUUCAUACAUUACUGAAGAAUGUAAAUGGCACUGUAAUAAUGAUGGCUCCUCUUGUAAGACCCAGGAAAGAAAAUUAGUUCUAAUGUCUCAGUACUAGAAACAGUUGUGCUUCACCUGAGAAACUGAUUUAUCUUAAGGAUAUCUGAAAAUCACAUUGUUAAUCUCUCUCUCUCUCUCUCUUUGGCUGCUUUAAAGUUCAGAGAUAAGUUUGUACCUUAACAUUAACAUAAAUGUAUGGCACACAUUUUAUGUAUUAAUUUCACUCCUGCCUACAUGUUAUUUCUUAUUUUGGGUGUUAUAUGUAAUUUUAUAUAUUACCUUAGUUUUAUAAAUUUCCUUAAUAGGGUAUCAUAUAAAUUAAAAAGUUCAGACAUACAUGAAUAAAAUUGCAUGCUUUGAAAAAAUGCAACGAAGGACCAUUUUAAGCUAUGAAACUUAGGUAUGAUAUAAAUUAACUCAGGAAAAUCCAGUCAAAAGCCAAAUAAAGCUGUAUUUUAUACUGUACAAAAGAAAAUUUACAUCCUUAAUGUAACUAGAUACAUCUAGGGAGAAAUUACACAUCUCUCAAGAAACACAAUAUUUAACAUCUUAGAUAUGUUUCUGCAUUGCAGACUGAUAAUGAAUUUUAUACAUCUUUAUUUAUAACUUAAAAUAUUUUUUCAUCUCUGGCAGAUAUUUACAAGGUCAACAGUGACUAUAUUUCACAUUUCAACAAUC